AUUGAACGCUGGCGGCAUGCUUUACACAUGCAAGUCGAACGGUAACAGGCCGCAAGGUGCUGACGAGUGGCGAACGGGUGAGUAAUGCAUCGGAACGUGCCCAGUCGUGGGGGAUAACUACUCGAAAGAGUAGCUAAUACCGCAUACGAUCUAUGGAUGAAAGCGGGGGACCGUAAGGCCUCGCGCGAUUGGAACGGCCGAUGUCAGAUUAGGUAGUUGGUGGGGUAAAGGCUCACCAAGCCAACGAUCUGUAGCUGGUCUGAGAGGACGACCAGCCACACUGGGACUGAGACACGGCCCAGACUCCUACGGGAGGCAGCAGUGGGGAAUUUUGGACAAUGGGCGCAAGCCUGAUCCAGCAAUGCCGCGUGCAGGAAGAAGGCCUUCGGGUUGUAAACUGCUUUUGUACGGAACGAAACGGCUCUGGUUAAUACCCGGGGCUAAUGACGGUACCGUAAGAAUAAGCACCGGCUAACUACGUG
This 482-nucleotide ribosomal RNA is filed under the name uncultured bacterium. Its description in RNAcentral is "partial 16S ribosomal RNA". It matches the Rfam family "Bacterial small subunit ribosomal RNA", at positions 30 to 507 of the family's 1533-position model. The record is from RNAcentral.